UUUUUACGGAGAGUUUGAUCCUGGCUCAGGAUGAACGCUGGCGGCGUGCUUAACACAUGCAAGUCGAACGGUGAACACGGAGCUUGCUCUGUGGGAUCAGUGGCGAACGGGUGAGUAACACGUGAGCAACCUGCCCCUGACUCUGGGAUAAGCGCUGGAAACGGCGUCUAAUACUGGAUAUGUGACGUGACCGCAUGGUCUGCGUUUGGAAAGAUUUUUCGGUUGGGGAUGGGCUCGCGGCCUAUCAGCUUGUUGGUGAGGUAAUGGCUCACCAAGGCGUCGACGGGUAGCCGGCCUGAGAGGGUGACCGGCCACACUGGGACUGAGACACGGCCCAGACUCCUACGGGAGGCAGCAGUGGGGAAUAUUGCACAAUGGGCGAAAGCCUGAUGCAGCAACGCCGCGUGAGGGAUGACGGCCUUCGGGUUGUAAACCUCUUUUAGCAGGGAAGAAGCGAAAGUGACGGUACCUGCAGAAAAAGCGCCGGCUAACUACGUGCCAGCAGCCGCGGUAAUACGUAGGG
This 523-nucleotide ribosomal RNA is filed under the name Microbacterium sp. LCT-H2. Its description in RNAcentral is "bacterial SSU rRNA". It matches the Rfam family "Bacterial small subunit ribosomal RNA", at positions 1 to 532 of the family's 1533-position model. Lineage: Bacteria; Bacillati; Actinomycetota; Actinomycetes; Micrococcales; Microbacteriaceae. The record is from RNAcentral.